Molecule: ribosomal RNA, 252 nt
Filed under: uncultured Bacteroidales bacterium
Lineage: Bacteria; Pseudomonadati; Bacteroidota; Bacteroidia; Bacteroidales
Description: partial 16S ribosomal RNA
Rfam family: Bacterial small subunit ribosomal RNA
Source: RNAcentral
UACGGAGGAUGCGAGCGUUAUCCGGAUUUAUUGGGUUUAAAGGGUGCGCAGGCGGAUUUUUAAGUCAGCGGUCAAAUCGUGGGGCUCAACCCCAUCCAGCCGUUGAAACUGGCGGGCUGGAGUUGGAGAGAAGUACGCGGAAUGCGCGGUGUAGCGGUGAAAUGCUUAGAUAUCACGAAGAACCCCGAUUGCGAAGGCAGCCUGCCGCAGCGUUACUGACGCUGAAGCUCGAAAGCGCGGGUAUCGAACAGG